RNAcentral lists this small nuclear RNA (166 nucleotides) under Laticauda laticaudata (blue-ringed sea krait). RNAcentral describes it as "U1 spliceosomal RNA (ENSLLTG00000009832.1)". It matches the Rfam family "U1 spliceosomal RNA". From Rfam's summary of the family: U1 is a small nuclear RNA (snRNA) component of the spliceosome (involved in pre-mRNA splicing). Lineage: Eukaryota; Metazoa; Chordata; Lepidosauria; Squamata; Elapidae. The record is from RNAcentral.
AUACUUAGCUGACAAGGGAGAUACCAUGAACAUGAAGGGAUUUUUUUCCCUCCAGUUGAGACUCAUUCAUUAUAAUGUGGGUAUGCUGAUCCAUGUAAUUUCCCCAAAUGUGGAAAAACUUGACUACAUAAUUUAUAAUGGAGGAGUGUGUUCAUGCCUACUCCUG